Molecule: long non-coding RNA, 1064 nt
Organism: Lucilia cuprina (Australian sheep blowfly)
Lineage: Eukaryota; Metazoa; Arthropoda; Insecta; Diptera; Calliphoridae
Exons: 3
Source: RefSeq, a predicted model, not a curated record
AUUCUUUACAAAAAAAAAGAAAAAAAAAACAAGAGAAGGCAUGAAAAAUACAUGUUUUUUUAUUAAACAUUUUGUGUGUAUGUAAAUUUUUUUAUUUUUUGGUUCAUUCAUUUGGUAAAAAAGUGAAGCAAGCUGAAGAAAAUAGAAAUACAAAAGGAAACGCAAAGUGAAGAAGAAAUACAACUCACAUAUACAUGACUGCAUAGACAUACAAACACACAUUAAAAUGAAAUAGUGCUUGUUAGUGUGCGGUAAUGUUAAGAGUGUCAGUGAGUGAGUGAGUUAGUGUCUUCUGAAACGGUGUUUCAAAUCUUUGUGUGUAUGAAAGUUGGAGAUAAUGAUGAUAGGUUUGUGUAAGUGUAUGUGUGUGUGAUGGCAUUUGAACUGUAAAACUAGAGGCAAGAAAAUUUGGAUGAAGAAAAAAAUCAAGUACUAGAAAAAUGUAAAAUCCAACACACAAAUAAGAUAAUAAUGACUAUGAAUAUGACGAUGUUGGUUGUGAUGAUAAUGAUGAAUAAUCUCAUAAUGAUGAUGGUAAUGAUGACAACAGCGACAACGACUGCUGCGACGACGACGACAACAACGACGAAGAAGAAGACAAUGCUGCAUACAUUAAAUUAAAAUUUCACCAUAAAAACGGAAGUUAUAAAACCAUAAUUCAUGUCAUAACACAAAUGUAUAAAACGAAUAAUUACAAAAAAGUCAUGGCUUAAGAGAAGUAAUGUUAAUGCUAAUCUAAAAGAAGAAUAAUUCAAAUAAAAUACAUCAGAAUAAUUUAAAUUACAAGCCAGUAGAUAAAAGUUUUAAUUUAAGUUUAUGUUGCAAUAAAAUAACCAAAAUGUUUCAGAAAACUCAAAGAGUUCGCAUAAAAUAUAAAAGCAAGUUUAUUGAAACUUUAAGGCAUCAUCAACAUCACAGUCAGCUACACCAGCAUAAAUCAAAUUUGAACAGCAGCAAGUGUAUUAAUUGCUAAAAUUGUGCAACGAAAACAAUGAAUUUUUUGGAGCAUGAACAAUUGUUGGAAUUGAAUGAACUAUAUGGGGAAAUUCAACAGAAGUCAUAAA